RNAcentral lists this unclassified non-coding RNA (3593 nucleotides) under Leishmania donovani. RNAcentral describes it as "gene:LdHU3.03.0010(CDS-product:Leucine_rich_repea t/Leucine_Rich_Repeat_putative)". The record is from RNAcentral. Lineage: Eukaryota; Euglenozoa; Kinetoplastea; Trypanosomatida; Trypanosomatidae.
CGCCACAAUGUAGUGUGGCCUUGGGCUCCAAGUUUCUCAUUUACCACUUCCUCUCACCAUUACUACUCUCCAUGGAGGACCCUUCAUCAUCGCUGAGCACUGUCACGCGCAGCGGCAUCAAUCUUGACGACAGAUACACUUGCUGCGUGUGCACGAAUCCAAUGAUCCCUGCGGUGCGAAACAAUCACUGCAACCACUACAUCUGCCUCCGUUGCUCUUUCAUGUGCGACUCGAGGUGCCCGCUUUGUCGCGCAGAUGCUGAAUGGGCCACAGACAGUGACCUCAGCUGCACAAUUGGAAAUGAAUUGCGCGACGCUCUCGUCGCUGAGUCACUCAACCGGUUACGUUCUAUUCAAGGGAGCACAAGCGGGGCGACAGCCCGUGACAUCAUUGUGGGUCAUCUUGAUGCCACUCGCUUCACCGUUGAUUUGAGGAGCGUUGCCGACGAUCUACAGUGCAUUCAGCGCUAUGAGGCGACCGUAGGCUGCACCAAAGACGAGGAAGAUACCGAUGAAAAUUAUGUGUUCUAUUGCCACUCGCAACUUCAGCUGAACGCACUCCAGAGCACGAGGCACACACGCAUUCUUUUUUGCACUGCACCCACUUUGUCGGAUCCGACAAGGAUAAGUGGCUUCCAAAGACUACGCGUGCUACACCUCCAGGGCUGCCGUCAGCUUACGUCUCUACCGCCUCUUAGCUAUGCUCGUGACCUGCGCGUUUUAGUGGUCCAUCGGUGCGGGAUUCGCAGCGUCGGUGCCUUGGGCGACUGCCCGGAGGUUGAAACGGUGGCGUUUCGCGAGUGCGGCGAGCUCGCUGAUGUGGCCGGUUUGACGCACCUGGCGAAUGCCACUUCUCUUUCGUUGAUAGAUUGCAGCAAGGUGCUCGACGUCAAGCCGCUGUCUUCGGCCACCAAGCUGCAGCACGUGUCCUUGAAAGGCACAAGCAUCAAUAGUAUUGCCGGAUUGAGCGGCUCCGCUGCCACUUUGCACAUUGUCAGCGCCGAGGGGUGCACGCAGCUCACCAGCAUCGACCCGCUUUCAGCAGCGACGAAGCUGACGGAGGUACGUUUGGCUGGGACUGGCGUCGUCGACCUUUCACCUCUCCAAGCCAGCAUGCCCACGAUUACUGUUCUCGACGUGGAGAGAUGCACUGAGCUACACAGCAUCCUGUGUCUUUCUACAGCAGCAUCGUUGCGCGAGCUGUACUGCGGAGGCACAAAGGUGAAGGAUGUCAACCCUCUGAAGCCAAUCGCACCAAUUCUCAAGGUGGUCCAUUUGGAGCGGUGCUCUGGCAUUGAAAACAUCGACGCGCUUUCUCAAGCUAGCAGCCUGAAGGAAAUCGACCUAAGUCACACAAAAGUGCACAACAUUGAUGCACUGCGGCUCAGCGCUGACACCCUUGAAGUUCUUCUUGUAGGUCACUGCGUGGCGCUGAGGGACCUGUCACCUAUUGCAACCGCUUCACACUUGCGCUGCGUCGACGUGCAGUCGACUGGCGUGCAGAAUCUCGAAUUCCUGCGGGCGAGCGCGUGUACCCUCGAAGUGGUGUGCGCCGACAACUGCCCGAUCUCCGAUAUUUCCCCUCUCCGUGGAGCAGCAAAGCUGCGGGAGGUGCGACUGGCCAGCACCGCCGUUGACUCCCUUGACGACCUUCGUGCGAGCGUGCCAUCCUUGAAGUGCCUUUUCCUGGGCGGCUGCUCCCGCAUUGGUGACAUUUCACUGCUCAUGCACGCUACACAGCUUCGGGAAGUGUAUCUCACAAACACUGGCAUCGGCAAUAUUGAGGCCCUGCAGCCGUCAGCGGCGACUCUCGAGGUUGUUGCUAUCGGCGGCUGUGGCCGCAUCUCGGACAUUACGCCGCUGCUCGUGGCCACAAAGCUGAGGCUUGUAUACCUCUGGGGCACCAACAUCAGCAACAUACAUGCUAUUCGUUUCAGCGUAUCCUCUCUGGAGGUGCUGGACAUUGGAGGAUGCGGCCGGGUGUCGGAGGUUUCUUCUUUGCUGAACGCCACGAAGCUGCGGGAGGUGCGUCUCCACAACACGGCGCUACAGAGCAUUGAGGCACUGCGGCCAAGCGCCGGUUGCCUCCAGUGGGUUGAGCUGGUUGGCUGUACUCACGUUUCUGAUAUAUCCCCUCUCUCCAAUGCCACAAAGUUGAGGGAGGUGUAUCUUACGAACACGGCUGUAAGCAGCAUCGAUGCACUGCGGUGCAGUGCCCCAUCCCUCGAGGUGAUUGCCCUGGGCAACUGCGCGGAAGUGUCUGAUCUCUCAGCUCUCGCCGCCGCAACCAAGCUCAGAGAGGCGUACCUAUGGGGUACAAAGAUAAACAGCAUCGAGGCGCUGAAAUCUAGCAUGGCAUCGCUGACGGUACUUGAGGUGACGGGGUGCACGAAAAUCUCGGAUGUGUCCAUCCUAUCCGGUGCCGUGAGGCUUCGCCGCGUCGACCUGGCGAACACAUCGAUUACCUCCAUUGAUGCGCUGGUGCCAGUGGCAUCCUCUCUCGAAUUCAUCAAUGUCAGCGGCUGCAUUAUGAUAAAAGACUUCGCGCCCCUUGGUGCCGCCACAAGUAUCAAGACAAUGUGGAUGCGAAAGCUUCGUCUCGACUCCCUAAAUGUGCUUCGCCCUGUCACCAGAACCCUGGAGAAGGUGGACGUCAGCGGGUGCCUGAACCUGCGCGACAUCUCGGCUCUCGAGUCCGCCACGAAGCUGAGAGAGGUGUCUCUCCAAAACACAUCUAUUGACAGCCUGGAUGCUUUGAAGUCCAGUGCGUCGGCGUUGACAGUCGUGAACGCCAGCAGCUGCGUCAAUCUGACUAGUAUCGAGGCCCUCGUAUCGGCGACACAGCUCAAAGAGGUGAGGCUCAGCAACACGCGUAUCAGCAGCCUUCAACCGCUCCGUGCGAGCGCGGCAUGCGUGCAGAUCGUCGACGUCAGCGGAUGUGUGAACCUGAAAAGCACAACUGCUCUCGCUAAUGCACCAAGCAUGCGGCAGCUCACUCAUGACUAAGCCCCGAAUCCAGCCACGAUCGUUUGCUUUCUUUCCAUGACCACGCAGUGCGCUUCCACUCGGCUAUGCCUGUGUGUGUGUCUGAUUAUCCGUGCCUCUCGCCGUAUUUGCAUUUCUUCGCUAUUUUUUGUGGCCCUCAGCUGGACUGCUGCGUCUGACACGCUCGCGUCCUCUAUAUUUCGCCUCUGCCGCACCAUACAUCCUGGUAUUCACAGAAGAUCCGCUGUUUACUUCCAUACUGCUGCACCGCCUUUCCCUGUACAGCGUGCUCUGUGUCUGCCUCAACAUCGGACACAGCAGUGCCGUCGAAAAUAAUUCACUGCUGGCAUCCACCAUUAUACACUUGUGAUGUAACAGCGAGAGCGAUUGCUUCAGUUUAUCCCAUCUUUCAGGCCUCCCUUAUUGUUCCGUGCAUUUGUUUACCUCUGCAUCUUUUAAAGAGUCUUUUCCUCAUUCUAUUCGUUCCUUUAUCUCAUUGUCAGGUGCUGUGACGCUCUACGUCGGCUUACUGCAUCGUCCCAAAAAGAGCAAGCCCUCUCUCUGUUUAUGCUCCGCAUGUCCCGUCAUCGGUUUCUAUCCCCUUUCCAG